RNAcentral lists this ribosomal RNA (497 nucleotides) under uncultured bacterium. RNAcentral's name for it is "bacterial SSU rRNA". It matches the Rfam family "Bacterial small subunit ribosomal RNA", at positions 28 to 507 of the family's 1533-position model. The record is from RNAcentral.
GACGAACGCUGGCGGCGUGCCUAAUACAUGCAAGUAGAACGCUGAGGACUGGUGCUUGCACCGGUCCAAGGAGUUGCGAACGGGUGAGUAACGCGUAGGUAACCUACCUCAUAGCGGGGGAUAACUAUUGGAAACGAUAGCUAAUACCGCAUAAAAGUGUUUAACCCAUGUUAAACAUUUAAAAGGUGCAACUGCAUCACUAUGAGAUGGACCUGCGUUGUAUUAGCUAGUUGGUGAGGUAACGGCUCACCAAGGCGACGAUACAUAGCCGACCUGAGAGGGUGAUCGGCCACACUGGGACUGAGACACGGCCCAGACUCCUACGGGAGGCAGCAGUAGGGAAUCUUCGGCAAUGGACGGAAGUCUGACCGAGCAACGCCGCGUGAGUGAAGAAGGUUUUCGGAUCGUAAAGCUCUGUUGUUAGAGAAGAAUGAUGGUGGGAGUGGAAAAUCCACCAUGUGACGGUAACUAACCAGAAAGGGACGGCUAACUACGUG